UACGUAGGGUGCGAGCGUUGUCCGGAUUUACUGGGCGUAAAGAGCGCGCAGGCGGUUAAUUAAGUCGAAUGUGAAAGCCCCCGGCUCAACUGGGGAGGGUCAUUCGAUACUGAUUAACUUGAAGGCAGGAGAGGGUAGUGGAAUUCCCGGUGUAGUGGUGAAAUGCGUAGAUAUCGGGAGGAACACCAGUGGCGAAGGCGACUACCUGGCCUGUUCUUGACGCUGAGGCGCGAGAGCGUGGGGAGCGAACCGG
RNAcentral lists this ribosomal RNA (253 nucleotides) under uncultured bacterium. RNAcentral's name for it is "partial 16S ribosomal RNA". It matches the Rfam family "Bacterial small subunit ribosomal RNA", at positions 524 to 776 of the family's 1533-position model. The record is from RNAcentral.